This 655-nucleotide long non-coding RNA is filed under the name Pan paniscus (pygmy chimpanzee). Its description in RNAcentral is "lncRNA (ENSPPAG00000044236.1)". Lineage: Eukaryota; Metazoa; Chordata; Mammalia; Primates; Hominidae. The record is from RNAcentral.
GUUUUAACUCCAAAACAGAUGCUUGUAUGCCUUUGAUAAAAAUGGAAAUUUAAAAAAUUAAGGGAGGGAUAGUAGGGAGGUGGGAGGAAGGGAGAUGUGCUUUUUACAGCUGGUGCUUCCUGACUAGUGACUAGGGGGAAAUGCUUGGGCUGAAGUGUACCCUUCUGAAUGCUGAGCUCCUUAACAGAACCCAGGAGGGAGAAGCCUGGGAAAGCGUCAGGCCCUGGCCCAGGAGGACACUUCAUUCUCGCAGGUCUUAAAGGUUUCAAAUGUUCAACCCCAGAACUGCUAUUGUCAUGAAGGAAUGAAGCCAAAGAGAAAUCUGUUGUGUCAGAAGGGAACUCUGCCAUGCGGACUUCACAGCACCAGGAUCACAAGAAGCUCUAAGACUUUCCGGGGGUUUAGUAUACCACUGCCUGCAAGUGGUGAGAAGAUAUCAAUAUUUAUUCAGGUGAAUACUCUUUAAAAAACGCUUAUAUACCAGACUAUGAUACGUAGACUAUCUCAGCACAUUCAAAAGAGCAGAAAUUGUACAGAUGACAUUUCAGACCACAGUGCAGUACAAUGAAAGAUGAUUAACACCGUUUUAAGAAUACGUGAUGAUCUAUAACAAAAGGUUACUACAUAUUUAAUUACUCUCUGGAUGGGCAAUGGC